UAGGGAAUAUUGCGCAAUGGGCGAAAGCCUGACGCAGCAACGCCGCGUGGGGGAUGAAUGCCCUCGGGUUGUAAACCCCUUUCAGCAGGGACGAAGCGAAAGUGACGGUACCUGCAGAAGAAGCCCCGGCCAACUACGUGCCAGCAGCCGCGGUAAUACGUAGGGGGCGAGCGUUGUCCGGAAUUAUUGGGCGUAAAGAGCUCGUAGGCGGUUUGGCAAGUCGGAUGUGAAAACCCGGGGCUCAACCCCGGGAGGCCAUUCGAUACUGCCAUGACUAGAGUCCGGUAGGGGAGUGUGGAAUUCCUGGUGUAGCGGUGAAAUGCACAGAUAUCAGGAGGAACACCGGUGGCGAAGGCGGCACUCUGGGCCGGUACUGACGCUGAGGAGCGAAAGCUAGGGGAGCGAACAG
Molecule: ribosomal RNA, 409 nt
Filed under: uncultured bacterium
Lineage: Bacteria
Description: bacterial SSU rRNA
Rfam family: Bacterial small subunit ribosomal RNA
Source: RNAcentral